This is a non-coding RNA of Podarcis lilfordi (Lilford's wall lizard), 95 nucleotides long. The record is from the annotation of a GenBank genome assembly. NCBI's taxonomy places the organism in Eukaryota, Metazoa, Chordata, Lepidosauria, Squamata, Lacertidae.
UCCAUGUGGGGUCUCCUUCUCCUCCAGAUGUCUUCCUGCCAAGCGUUCUGCCCUGUGCAAGAAGGCAUCUGGAGGAGAAGGAGACCCCACAAGGG